AGUGAACGCUGGCGGUAGGCCUAACACAUGCAAGUCGAACGGCAGCACAGUAAGAGCUUGCUCUUACGGGUGGCGAGUGGCAGACGGGUGAGGAAUACAUCGGAAUCUACUUUUUCGUGGGGGAUAACGUAGGGAAACUUACGCUAAUACCGCAUACGACCUACGGGUGGAAGCAGGGGAUCUUCGGACCUUGCGCGAUUGAAUGAGCCGAUGUCGGAUUAGCUAGUUGGCGGGGUAAAGGCCCACCAAGGCGACGAUCCGUAGCUGGUCUGAGAGGAUGAUCAGCCACACUGGAACUGAGACACGGUCCAGACUCCUACGGGAGGCAGCAGUGGGGAAUAUUGGACAAUGGGCGCAAGCCUGAUCCAGCCAUACCGCGUGGGUGAAGAAGGCCUUCGGGUUGUAAAGCCCUUUUGUUGGGAAAGAAAAGCAGCAGGUUAAUACCCCGCUGUUCUGACGGUACCCAAAGAAUAAGCACCGGCUAACUUCGUG
RNAcentral lists this ribosomal RNA (492 nucleotides) under uncultured bacterium. Its description in RNAcentral is "partial 16S ribosomal RNA". It matches the Rfam family "Bacterial small subunit ribosomal RNA", at positions 29 to 507 of the family's 1533-position model. The record is from RNAcentral.